This 1191-nucleotide long non-coding RNA is filed under the name Homo sapiens (human). RNAcentral describes it as "RUNDC3A antisense RNA 1". The record is from RNAcentral. Lineage: Eukaryota; Metazoa; Chordata; Mammalia; Primates; Hominidae.
GCGGAGGUUCCCAGCAGCAGAGCAGGCGCCUACAAUGGUGCCAAGGCAACCGGAGGGGGUGGCGGCCCACCCCCUCGCACCACCCCAGAGCCAGCUGGCCUAAGGAACAUCCCUCCCAGGACUCACUCACACCUAUUCUCCAACUCUGCCUACCUGCUCAAUUCACCUGAUGCUCUGCCAGUGGAUUGCUGAUGUCUCUACAUUGAUUCAGAUUUGCACCCACAUCUGAAAAUGGUCAGCAGGCAGGGACCCUCUGUCACCACAGGUGGAGGAAGAGGAGAUGAAAGAGCCUUGUCUGACACCCUGGAGACUGCAAGAAGGCCCUUGCCAGAUGUGGGCCCCUCCAUCUUGGACUUCCCAGCUAGCCUCCAGAACUGGAAACUACCCAGACUGUGUCCUCUCCCUCUUACUCUCCUAAAGGAAGACAAGGAAGACAAUGACAAAUGGCGUUUGCAGCAAAGCAACACCAACAGCCAACUUGAUGCUCAAGAGAGAACGCUAUGCCUCUUCCUCAUGGUUUCCAGUGCUCUACACAUUCUGAGAAACUUUUCUGGUAAUAAACUAUAGAAACAAUGAGACUGUGCCCAUGGGAGAGACCCCAUCUCUACAAAAAAUACAAAAAUUAGCCAGGCGUAGUGGUGUGCACCUGGAUUCCCCAGCUACUUGGAAGGCUGAGAUGGGAAGAUCACUUGAGCCCCGGAGGUUGAGACUGCAGUGCGCCAUGAUCACGCCACUGUACUUCAGCCUCAGUGACAAAGCGAAAGCCUGUUUCAAAAAAAAAAAAAAGACAGAGAGAAACGGGCUGGGGACGGUGGUUCACACCUGUAAUCCCCGCACUUUGGAAGGCCGAGGCAGGUGGAUCACUUGAGAUCAGGAGUUCGAGACCAGCCUGGCCAACAUGGUGAAACCCCGUCUCUACUAAAAAUACAAAAAUGAGCAAGGCAUGGUGGUGGAUGCCUAUAAUCCCAGCUACUCAGAAGGCCGAGGUGGGAGAAUCACUUGAAUCCCAGGAGACAGAGGUUGCAGUGAGCCGAGAUCGCGCCACUGCACUCCAGUUUGGGCAACAGAAUGAGGCUCCAUCUCAAGAAACAGAAAAAGGGAAAUGAUCCCUGAAAGUACACUCUUUUGUUGUAGUUUUUAUUUGCAUUUUGCUAACGAUUAGUGAUGUUGAGCACCUUUUCAUGUGUUUAC